Molecule: long non-coding RNA, 913 nt
Filed under: Dicentrarchus labrax (European seabass)
Lineage: Eukaryota; Metazoa; Chordata; Actinopteri; Moronidae
Description: lncRNA (ENSDLAG00005031939.1)
Source: RNAcentral
UUUUUCUAGUUGUUUUAUUUCAUUUUGAACUACCCGUUCAUGUACAAUUAGAAUAAAAACACAAUUUUAUUUUUAAAAAUGUAUUUUGUUUGGCACAAAAUAACAACAAAAGUCAAAGGUUCCCAUGAAUGCAUGCACCAAAGAUGAUGACAGAAACAUGUAUAAAAACUGUGACGCAGACAGUGUGGAACAGGCCCAAACUGUUCAAAUCAGCUGCAUUCAGAUGCUGCCUCGGUUGGCUUGCUCCUUCAAACCUGGCUAAAAAAUUUUUUUGCAUCUUUUUUUUGUAGUCUACAGUGGGGUUUGGAUUAAAGGGCAGCAGACCUUGAGACGAUCCACCCAGCCAGACUGACAGGACCAGCUCAUCACAGCGGGUGCUGUCGCCCCAGGAGGGGAGGAAGCGAGCCGAAAUAGGAACCAUGCUGGCCCAGCUUGGACUUAAGGCUGCUCCUGGCUAAUGUCCGAUCUGGAAAUGAGAUUCAGGCUGGUCAAACAACUUGAAAUCAGAGACUGUUGUAUCCACAUCUUUACAGAGACCUGCUUCAUCAAGCGCUCGUCAGGCGGACUGUGUUCCGCGCAGACAGAACGCAGGACGAGAGGAGGCGGACUCUGUCCAUCGAUGAGGCUUGGUGCUCAAAUGCAGUCAAAGUGGAUGGACGCAGUUUCUUUUUCACUAUCUCACUAUCUUGUUGCUGCUGUUUACAUUCAACCAGAUGCAAAUUCCCUGGGUGUAUACUAUGAUCAGAUGGCAAAGUGGCCUGGCUUGGUCCAUGACUCCCAAGUCCUUCGGGCCUGUACAAUUACCCAGCGACUAUCUGAAGCCGAGUACAAGGCUGACCUGCUCGGACGUGUUUGGCGUGAACAGACCAUGCAGCAUGCCUGUUGGAAGCAUAAGGUUGGGAGACACGACUGA